RNAcentral lists this ribosomal RNA (427 nucleotides) under uncultured prokaryote. RNAcentral's name for it is "bacterial SSU rRNA". It matches the Rfam family "Bacterial small subunit ribosomal RNA", at positions 355 to 774 of the family's 1533-position model. The record is from RNAcentral.
UGGGGAAUUUUGCGCAAUGGGCGAAAGCCUGACACAGCAACGCCGCGUGGGUGAUGAAGGUCUUCGGAUCGUAAAACCCUGUCGUCGGGGACGAAGGUCGGGAGGUGAACAGCCUUUCGAUUUGACGGUACCCGGAGAGGAAGCCCCGGCUAACUCUGUGCCAGCAGCCGCGGUAAUACAGAGGGGGCAAGCGUUAUUCGGAAUUAUUGGGCGUAAAGGGCGCGUAGGCGGUGUUUUAAGUGGGAUGUGCAAUCCCCGGGCUUAACCUGGGAACUGCAUCCCAGACUGGAACGCUGGAGUAGUGGAGAGGGUGGUGGAAUUCAACGUGGAGCGGUGAAAUGCGUAGAGAUGUGGAGGAACACCAGUGGCGAAGGCGGCCACCUGGACAGUAAGUGACGCUGAGGCGCGAAAGUGUGGGUAGCAAACA